GGCCUUGGAACUAAUUAGUUUCACAUUUUUGUAAAUCAUAAAAAUCAAUUAUAUCCCCCAUGGAAGCAUGAUCACUUUCUUUUCCAAUGGAUCGAUCGAGCUCAGUUACUUCUGGUAGGGUUACCGAUCUUUCUGUUCUGGACAGAUAAUUUUAAUUAACCUUUUUCCAAAACUACCGCUCAUUAUCCUCUUCAUGACGCCGAUGAUCCUCACCAUCCAGACCCUCAGCAAGAACAGCUUCUCCAAGAUCCCCUCAAAUUCCCUACCCAGAAGAAAUAUAGUGGCAGUGGGGGAUUUGGCAUUGGAUGCACCAUCAAUAUUGAUUUUUGUACAUCUUGUUCAUUUCCCCGGAUCGAUGUAACCCUUCCCUUCCAACUUCCAAGGCGCCUGCUGAGCAAACUGGUACCGGUUGUUCAAGUAGGAAUCAUCGGGACGAUAAUGGUCGGCAAACAUGUGUUCUCGGGGCUGGGAAUAACGACUCCACCUCCUUGGUACCAGGCCUUGCUAGCAAGUAGGUUUGGAAGUAUGGCAAGCACUUGGCUUUUUGGAAACUUCAUCCAAUCCUUCCUUUAAAGCACAGGAGCUUUUUAAGUGUGUUGUAAUGGUGAACUGGUAUACCCUACCCUCUUCUCGAUUGAGUUAAAUGUCGAAAUUUCUCCAUUUCUAUCUCCGCUAGCUGCUCAUCGUUAUGAAUCUUGUCGGACGUAGCUCUUCUCGAAGCUGAAGGAGCAGAGGUUCCCUAAUGAAAUUGAGUUGAGGGAUCUCGUCGGAAAGAGCUUGGAGGAGGGGUAUGGUCUUAGUGCGCAGGAGGAGGAGACGUUUUUACCUCUACACGAUCGACAUAUACCUGAUCGUUUGUUUAAUAUGAAAGCAAGAUUGCCUUGCGGUUUAUAUGCUUUAA
Molecule: non-coding RNA, 901 nt
Organism: Malus domestica (apple)
Lineage: Eukaryota; Viridiplantae; Streptophyta; Magnoliopsida; Rosales; Rosaceae
Source: RefSeq, a predicted model, not a curated record